This 253-nucleotide ribosomal RNA is filed under the name uncultured bacterium. RNAcentral's name for it is "partial 16S ribosomal RNA". It matches the Rfam family "Bacterial small subunit ribosomal RNA", at positions 524 to 776 of the family's 1533-position model. The record is from RNAcentral.
UACGUAGGGGGCAAGCGUUGUCCGGAAUCAUUGGGCGUAAAGAGCGUGUAGGCGGUCCGGUAAGUCCGCUGUGAAAGUCGGGGGCUCAACCCUCGAAUGCCGGUGGAUACUGUCGGGCUAGAGUGCGGAAGAGGCGAGUGGAAUUCCUGGUGUAGCGGUGAAAUGCGCAGAUAUCAGGAGGAACACCUAUUGCGAAGGCAGCUCGCUGGGGCGUAACUGACGCUGAGACGCGAAAGCGUGGGGAGCAAACAGG